AUGAACGCUAGCUACAGGCUUAACACAUGCAAGUCGAGGGGCAGCAUGGUCUUAGCUUGCUAAGGCCGAUGGCGACCGGCGCACGGGUGAGUAACACGUAUCCAACCUGCCGUCUACUCUUGGACAGCCUUCUGAAAGGAAGAUUAAUACAGGAUGGCAUCAUGAGUCCGCAUGUUCACAUGAUUAAAGGUAUUCCGGUAGACGAUGGGGAUGCGUUCCAUUAGAUAGUAGGCGGGGUAACGGCCCACCUAGUCUUCGAUGGAUAGGGGUUCUGAGAGGAAGGUCCCCCACAUUGGAACUGAGACACGGUCCAAACUCCUACGGGAGGCAGCAGUGAGGAAUAUUGGUCAAUGGGCGAGAGCCUGAACCAGCCAAGUAGCGUGAAGGAUGACUGCCCUAUGGGUUGUAAACUUCUUUUAUAAAGGAAUAAAGUCGGGUAUGGAUACCCGUUUGCAUGUACUUUAUGAAUAAGGAUCGGCUAACUCCGUGCCAGCAGCCGCGGUAAUACGGAGGAUCCGAGCGUUAUCCGGAUUUAUUGGGUUUAAAGGGAGCGUAGAUGGAUGUUUAAGUCAGUUGUGAAAGUUUGCGGCUCAACCGUAAAAUUGCAGUUGAUACUGGAUAUCUUGAGUGCAGUUGAGGCAGGCGGAAUUCGUGGUGUAGCGGUGAAAUGCUUAGAUAUCACGAAGAACUCCGAUUGCGAAGGCAGCCUGCUAAGCUGCAACUGACAUUGAGGCUCGAAAGUGUGGGUAUCAAACAGGAUUAGAUACCCUGGUAGUCCACACGGUAAACGAUGAAUACUCGCUGUUUGCGAUAUACUGCAAGCGGCCAAGCGAAAGCGUUAAGUAUUCCACCUGGGAAGUACGCCGGCAACGGUGAAACUCAAAGGAAUUGACGGGGGCCCGCACAAGCGGAGGAACAUGUGGUUUAAUUCGAUGAUACGCGAGGAACCUUACCCGGGCUUAAAUUGCAGAUGAAUUACGGUGAAAGCCGUAAGCCGCAAGGCAUCUGUGAAGGUGCUGCAUGGUUGUCGUCAGCUCGUGCCGUGAGGUGUCGGCUUAAGUGCCAUAACGAGCGCAACCCUUGUUGUCAGUUACUAACAGGUUCCGCUGAGGACUCUGACAAGACUGCCAUCGUAAGAUGUGAGGAAGGUGGGGAUGACGUCAAAUCAGCACGGCCCUUACGUCCGGGGCUACACACGUGUUACAAUGGGGGGUACAGAGGGCCGCUACCACGCGAGUGGAUGCCAAUCCCCAAAACCUCUCUCAGUUCGGACUGGAGUCUGCAACCCGACUCCACGAAGCUGGAUUCGCUAGUAAUCGCGCAUCAGCCACGGCGCGGUGAAUACGUUCCCGGGCCUUGUACACACCGCCCGUCAAGCCAUGGGAGCCGGGGGUACCUGAAGUGCGUAACCGCGAGGAGCGCCCUAGGGUAAAACUGGUGACUGGGGCUAAGU
This 1453-nucleotide ribosomal RNA is filed under the name uncultured organism. RNAcentral's name for it is "SSU rRNA". It matches the Rfam family "Bacterial small subunit ribosomal RNA". The record is from RNAcentral.